UGCCAGCCGCCGCGGUAAUACGGAGGGUGCAAGCGUUGUUCGGAAUCAUUGGGCGUAAAGCGAGUGUAGGCGGGCUGGUCAGUUGGGGGUGAAAUCCCGAGGCUUAACCUCGGAACUGCCCUCAAUACUACCAGUCUAGAGAUCGAGAGAGGUAAGUGGAAUUCCUAGUGUAGAGGUGAAAUUCGUAGAUAUUAGGAAGAACACCAGUGGCGAAGGCGGCUUACUGGCUCGAUACUGACGCUGAGGCGCGAAAGCGUGGGGAGCAAACAGGAUUAGAUA
This 279-nucleotide ribosomal RNA is filed under the name uncultured bacterium. RNAcentral describes it as "partial 16S ribosomal RNA". It matches the Rfam family "Bacterial small subunit ribosomal RNA", at positions 506 to 784 of the family's 1533-position model. The record is from RNAcentral.